GUGGUUUAAUUCGAUGCAACGCGAAAAACCUUACCCACCUUUGACAUGUACGGAAUCCUUUAGAGAUAGAGGAGUGCUCGAAAGAGAACCGUAACACAGGUGCUGCAUGGCUGUCGUCAGCUCGUGUCGUGAGAUGUUGGGUUAAGUCCCGCAACGAGCGCAACCCUUGUCAUUAGUUGCUACAUUCAGUUGGGCACUCUAAUGAGACUGCCGGUGACAAACCGGAGGAAGGUGGGGAUGACGUCAAGUCCUCAUGGCCCUUAUAGGUGGGGCUACACACGUCAUACAAUGGCUGGUACAGAGGGUUGCCAACCCGCGAGGGGGAGCCAAUCCCAUAAAGCCAGUCGUAGUCCGGAUCGCAGUCUGCAACUCGACUGCGUGAAGUCGGAAUCGCUAGUAAUCGCGGAUCAGAAUGUCGCGGUGAAUACGUUCCCGGGUCUUGUACACACCGCCCGUCACACCAUGGGAGCGGGUUCUGCCAGAAGUAGUUAGCCUAACCGCAAGGAGGGCGAUUACCACGGCAGGGUUCGUGACUGGGGUGAAGUCGUAACAA
This 553-nucleotide ribosomal RNA is filed under the name Acidovorax delafieldii. Its description in RNAcentral is "bacterial SSU rRNA". It matches the Rfam family "Bacterial small subunit ribosomal RNA", at positions 941 to 1494 of the family's 1533-position model. The record is from RNAcentral. Lineage: Bacteria; Pseudomonadati; Pseudomonadota; Betaproteobacteria; Burkholderiales; Comamonadaceae.